CCAAUCGCCACAAUCCACAGAGGCUGACCAUCGACCAACAACCCCACUGCAAGUACACAAGCCGUAGUUACCGUCAACAGUUUCCCCAGCAGUUUCAGUUUCUUAAUUUUAUUCACGUGGUAUUCAGUGUCGUGAAUGUUCUCCCUCUCCUGCAGUUUAUGUACAGCCGUAUAGGGUUACAAACCAAACCAUCCAGUAAUUAUUUGCUUUCUAAGCAUGCAUGGAAUAAGAGUUCAGUGAACCAUAUGCAUGACUUGAUCAUUAGUUAUUAGCAGGAUAAGACUAAUUAAAACACAAAAUAAACAUGAGUCUCCUUAGUGAGACCUAAAUAACGAUCCACAUGGUUAAAGAACUGGCAUCUAAAAAAAGGACUAAUUAAAACAAAGAGAGAAGAACUCAAACCUCAUCAUAGGCAUCAUCUUCAUCAUCAUCAGAAAGUAAGGGUAGAUGAAGCGUCUCAGUUUCUGCAGCCAUAACAACAAACUCAGGGUCAGGGGAUGGAUCACACGAGUCAAGAGCGCCUACGUAGCUG
RNAcentral lists this long non-coding RNA (532 nucleotides) under Capsella grandiflora. RNAcentral's name for it is "long non-coding RNA (CGRA_LNC000153)". The record is from RNAcentral. Lineage: Eukaryota; Viridiplantae; Streptophyta; Magnoliopsida; Brassicales; Brassicaceae.